Molecule: ribosomal RNA, 744 nt
Filed under: uncultured Bacteroidota bacterium
Lineage: Bacteria; Pseudomonadati; Bacteroidota
Description: bacterial SSU rRNA
Rfam family: Bacterial small subunit ribosomal RNA
Source: RNAcentral
GGGCAGCAAUGUCACCGUCGCACGGGUGCGUAACGCGUAUGCAACCUACCUAUCACAGGGGGAUAGCCUUUGGAAACAGGGAUUAAUACCGCAUAAAGCAGGGGCUCCGCAUGGAGAUAUUGCUAAAGAUUUAUCGGUGAUAGAUGGGCAUGCGUCUGAUUAGUUAGAUGGUGGGGUAACGGCCUACCAUGGCGAUGAUCAGUAGGGGGCGUCAGAGCGUGGUCCCCCACACUGGCACUGAGAUACGGGCCAGACUCCUACGGGAGGCAGCAGUAGGGAAUAUUGGGCAAUGGAUGCAAGUCUGACCCAGCCAUGCCGCGUGAAGGAAGAAGGUCCUCUGGAUUGUAAACUUCUUUUGUCGGGGAAGAAGAGUCAUCUUGCGAGGUGAUGUGACGGUACCCGAUGAAUAAGCCACGGCUAACUACGUGCCAGCAGCCGCGGUAAUACGUAGGUGGCAAGCGUUGUCCGGAUUUAUUGGGUUUAAAGGGUGCGUAGGUGGUUUAAUAAGUCAGUGGUGAAAGCUGGUUGCUCAACAAUCAAGUUGCCAUUGAUACUGUUAGACUUGAGAGAAGUGGAGGCUGGUGGAAUGGAUGGUGUAGCGGUGAAAUGCAUAGAUAUCAUCCAGAACGUCAAUUGCGAAGGCAGCUGGCUGUACUUUUUCUGACACUGAGGCACGAAAGUGUGGGGAUCAAACAGGAUUAGAUACCCUGGUAGUCCACACUGUAAACGAUGCGAACUAGCUUU